Molecule: unclassified non-coding RNA, 377 nt
Filed under: soil metagenome
Description: partial contains 5.8S ribosomal RNA, internal transcribed spacer 2, and large subunit ribosomal RNA
Rfam family: 5.8S ribosomal RNA (bases 1-120)
Source: RNAcentral
GAUGAAGAACGCAGCCAACUGCGAUAAGUAGUGUGAACUGCAGAAACCUUGAACACAGAACAUUCGAAUGCACAUUGCGCCAUUGGAGAUACAUCCUUUGGCACGCCUGGUUCAGGGUCGUUAUCCAAAAGCGCACAGCGUGUGCGUGUACAAAACUGCUUGACCAGCCUGCGUACGGCUGAUCUUGCAUUGGUGGCGUGCGUCCGGGUGGUGGAGAGCCGCGCUAGCAUGGACACGUGUGCAAUUCAGUUUGCGUCCAUGUUCUGCGCGCGGUUGACACUGCCUGCGGCAGCAUUUUAACCCAAAACUCAUCACAUUUUCGACCUGAACUCAGACGUGAUCACCCGCUGAACUUAAGCAUAUCAAUAAGCGGAGGA